UGAUGAGAUUUAAAUGUUGGUAGUUUUA
This 28-nucleotide small RNA is filed under the name Bombyx mori (domestic silkworm). Its description in RNAcentral is "ovarian small RNA-32810". The record is from RNAcentral. Lineage: Eukaryota; Metazoa; Arthropoda; Insecta; Lepidoptera; Bombycidae.